Hevea brasiliensis (rubber tree) is the source of this 662-nucleotide long non-coding RNA. RefSeq lists it as uncharacterized. The record is from RefSeq and is a predicted model, not a curated record. Lineage: Eukaryota; Viridiplantae; Streptophyta; Magnoliopsida; Malpighiales; Euphorbiaceae. The transcript has 3 exons.
ACGAAAGAGAGAGCGUCCGGAGAACGCACGAAUUCUCUCAUCUGUUCUUAGCAUUUUCACGUAACUUUCGUUUUCUCUCAAACUCUCUUUUGUUAUCUCCAAACAGUAGCAUAUGUUCCUUAGAUUUCCUCUCCAUUCAUUUCAUUUUUUCUCAAAUUUCUCAACUCUAAAUCCAUUCGUAGCAUCCCUAAGAAGAUUAAGGACCUUAAAAGGAAGAAGAAUAUUACUAUUUAAAAUGGGUUUUGAAAGGAGGGGAAAGCAUGGUUUCAAUCAAGGUGGUAAUUCUUGGAUAAAUUGACAAAUUGAGGGUUUAUGGAAGAAACCCAAAUGCAGCAAAGAGGUAUUUAGCAUAUGGGAAUUGUAUUAAUGGAUCUUUUACUUGAAGUUUUGGGCAGCCAUCAAGUGAAGAUCAAGUGAAGAUAGGUAUACCUACUGGACACACAGACAGCAUGGCUGUAAAAUUGUUGGGUCAUGUAUAUGAGCAUAAUCACGUAGUUUUACCUUUUCUUUUUAUUAUAUAUUUUUAUGUGCAUAUUUGUGAAAGUAGCAAGAAUAAUAUUCUGAUUUGAAAAUUCAGCUAAUUGAAAAGAGUCUUGUAUUAUAUUCUAGGAUGAAGUAAUGGUGGAUUAAGGUUCGUUAUCAAAGAAAAAAAAAUUACAUUA